UACGUAGGUGGCGAGCGUUAUCCGGAAUUAUUGGGCGUGAAGCGCGCGCAGGCGGUGAUUUAAGUCUUGUGUUUAAGCCCGGAGCUCAACUCCGGUACGCAUGGGAAACUGGGUCACUUGAGUGCAGAAGAGGAGAGUGGAAUUCCACGUGUAGCGGUGAAAUGCGUAGAGAUGUGGAGGAACACCAGUGGCGAAGGCAGCUCUCUGGACUGUAACUGACGCUGAGGCGCGAAAGCGUGGGGAGCAAACAGG
Molecule: unclassified non-coding RNA, 252 nt
Filed under: uncultured Paenibacillaceae bacterium
Lineage: Bacteria; Bacillati; Bacillota; Bacilli; Caryophanales; Paenibacillaceae
Description: contains 16S-23S intergenic spacer region
Rfam family: Bacterial small subunit ribosomal RNA
Source: RNAcentral